UCUGUAGAUACUCUCAAUUGGGCAGUUCAUCGCCACAUUUUCUACCGAGACGAUUCUGAUCUGCGCGGGAAGUUCAGUGCCAACCGAGACGUGGAGGAUGUUGACAAAAUGAUUGCUCAUGGUGAAGCAGAGUACGACAAGUGGCGGCACCCCUGAUCCUUAUUCCUUACGUCCGUAAACAUCUCGACCCUUAAAUGAACUGUGGUAGAUUUGAUAGCAAGAAAUGUUUGUUAGGUUUAUGGAAGUUCCUCUCUCAGGCUAGAGAUGAACAAGUGUUCAUUUCCUGAGUUUGACACUAACGACUCACUUUUUUCAUUUGGUAGUUCUAGGGGCGGCUCCUGGUAAGGAGCAGUUGCUCAAGUAAUAGCCAUCGAUGACAAUGAAGACAGUGUUUGUCAUCUGAGCAGUGAAGAGUCCAACUCUUCUUCAGAACCUGAGAGGGCAGAGACAGUCCCCAGAACCAGGAACACAGGUAAAGAGACGGUUGUGGAAGAUUCUGAUGAAUCGUUUAGCUCAGAGGCAGUUCUUAUUCUCUAGUCUCGGCGACGAAGACACACUCGCUUCUGUGACAAACUCCAGGAAGAAAGGAAAGUCCAAAUCAUCAACCAGUAGGAGUUCUGUUUCCGUGACGAGGAAGAAACGCAGUCUACAAUCCUAAAACCAGAGGCGUAUCUGGAUGAUCCGAUGAAUCUUUAUUUUGAGUUGCUUUAAAACUUUGAUUAAACCAGUUGUUGUUGCUCAAAAAAUAAAGAAGAUUAAACCAGUUAAUAUUUCCAGUAGAGAAAAACUACUGUUCUAUGUUGGCUGUCUCAAACUCGGCUUAAACAGAUUCGAAAA
Molecule: long non-coding RNA, 837 nt
Organism: Brassica oleracea var. oleracea
Lineage: Eukaryota; Viridiplantae; Streptophyta; Magnoliopsida; Brassicales; Brassicaceae
Exons: 6
Source: RefSeq, a predicted model, not a curated record